Molecule: transfer RNA, 69 nt
Filed under: Ictidomys tridecemlineatus (thirteen-lined ground squirrel)
Lineage: Eukaryota; Metazoa; Chordata; Mammalia; Rodentia; Sciuridae
Description: Spermophilus tridecemlineatus (thirteen-lined ground squirrel) tRNA
Rfam family: tRNA
About the family: Transfer RNA (tRNA) molecules are approximately 80 nucleotides in length.
Source: Rfam by way of RNAcentral
GGGGCUGUAGCUCAGUGGCAGAGCACUUGCCUUGCAUGCGUGAGGCACUGGGUUUGAUCCUUAGCACCA